UACGUAGGGAGCAAGCGUUGUCCGGAAUCAUUGGGCGUAAAGCGCGCGUAGGUGGCUUCGUAAGUCCGUUGUGAAAGUCAAAGGCUCAACCUUUGAAUGCCGAUGGAUACUGCGGAGCUAGAGUACGGAAGAGGCGAGUGGAAUUCCUGGUGUAGCGGUGGAAUGCGCAGAUAUCAGGAGGAACACCAAUAGCGAAGGCAGCUCGCUGGGACGUGACUGACGCUGAGACGCGAAAGCGUGGGGAGCAAACAGG
RNAcentral lists this ribosomal RNA (253 nucleotides) under uncultured bacterium. RNAcentral's name for it is "partial 16S ribosomal RNA". It matches the Rfam family "Bacterial small subunit ribosomal RNA", at positions 524 to 776 of the family's 1533-position model. The record is from RNAcentral.